AGAUAAUUUUGUCUGUGAAAUG
This 22-nucleotide microRNA is filed under the name Daphnia magna. RNAcentral describes it as "Dma-Mir-2-o2_5p (mature (guide))". Lineage: Eukaryota; Metazoa; Arthropoda; Branchiopoda; Diplostraca; Daphniidae. The record is from RNAcentral.